GUGCUCACUUCAACAGCACAUAUACUAAAAUUGGAACGAACCAGAGAAUAUUAGCAUGGCCCCUGCGCAAGGAUGACACGAAAAUUUGUGAAACGUUACAUAUUUAA
RNAcentral lists this small nuclear RNA (107 nucleotides) under Microcebus murinus (gray mouse lemur). Lineage: Eukaryota; Metazoa; Chordata; Mammalia; Primates; Cheirogaleidae. The record is from RNAcentral.